Molecule: non-coding RNA, 261 nt
Organism: Pelobates cultripes (western spadefoot toad)
Lineage: Eukaryota; Metazoa; Chordata; Amphibia; Anura; Pelobatidae
Source: the annotation of a GenBank genome assembly
CCCUCCUCUCCACCAACCCCCUUUCCGAUCCUCAAACCUUGAAGCGAAAUAUGACAUGCCGCUCUAAACCCCACACGACACUUUAAGCAAAGUUGUUACAACAGAGCUACAUUAUGCAGAUAUCAGCUACUGCUCAAGACAUAUAGACAAAGUAACCCCACAGAUCUAAAUAGGCCUGAAGUAGGCGACCACACAAAGAAAAUUGAGCUGACAGACCUCUAAAACGGAGCCAAGGACAAAGAGUAGGAAGCAAAUUAACGC